GGUGUUUGUUUCAGUGGUCACUGAAGUGAUCUCUCCGCAGGCCCAUGCCAGCCAUACUGGCAGACUUGAAUUCUCUCCAGAGAAGUUUCUCGUCCAAGAUCCCCUGUAAAAAAGGACUACUGAAGGAAAAAGGAAAGAAAAUAGAGUUUCUUUCGUCUUUAUUCCGGGGUUUUCUGCAAUUUUUUUUAAGAGAAAGAUAAGCUACAUAAAAAGGAGUUUGCUUGGUGAGUAAUGGUGGAGUGAAGCUCAUGAUCUGAGUGUUUCAAGAUGUCAAUUAAGGGCACCUCAACCAAAUGCACCUCAUGCCCAUUGACUCAACAGGUCGAGACCUUAAGGAAAUGCAGCGUUCCAUUGCAUAAUGCUUCAAUAUGAGUUAACAAGACAAAUGAGCAGAGAAACUAUGACUCUCCAAGCUGCAGAAGGAAAAUGCUCCUAGGGAACAUCUGCUUUGGGACCAAGGACAGAACCCAGAGGGCUGACAAAGAAGCACCAUGGAGUUGGUACACAGACCUCUGAGAACAGAUCCUAAAUGGCUACUGCUGCUACCUGGCAUCUCACCAGAGAACUGGUCCUGGAAGCUCUCAAGGAAGGUUGAAGCUUUUAGCUGCUACUGACCAAUACAGGAAAAACAGAAAUGCAUGGAGUCUCACUAUGUCACCCAGGCUGGAGUGGAGUGGCGUGAUCUCGGCUCACUGCAACCUCCGCCGCCCAGGUUCAAGCAAUCCUCCUGUCUCAGCCUCCUGAGAAGCUGGAACUACAGGCACCUGCCACCAUGCCUGGCUAAUUUUUGUAUUUUUAGUAGAGACGGGGUUUCUCCAUGUUGGCCGGGCUGGUCUCAAACUCCUGACCUCAGGUGAUCCACCCACCUUGGCCUCCUAAAGUGCUGGGAUUUCAGGCUUGAGCCACUGCGUUCGGCUGAAAAUAGCAUUUACUUUAGAGUGUGAUUGUAAAGAUUAGUGUGAUAAUAUGUACAGAAUAUCUUAUAUUCACGGAGGGCACACAUUUGUUCAAUGAAUUGUACUGUUGAGAUCACAAAUCACAUUUCCUCACCCUUCAACCACUGUGCAUCCAACAUCAUUUCCAAGUAGGUAUGAUUUCUGAACCAUAAUAGAAACUAACACUUCCUGGGUAUUUCUAUUUUGUGCCAAGCACCACUGUAAGUGCUUUACCUAUAUUAAGUCAAUUAAUUCUCCCAAGAAUUUAUGAGGUAAAUGCUUUUAUUUUUCCAAUUUUACCAAAGAGGAAAUUAACUCAGAGAAAGUUAAAAGAAAAAAAAACCUUAUAUGACAUAGCUAGAAAGUGUCAGAGCUAGGGUUUGAACCCAAGCAGUCUGGCUCCAGAGUCUUAGCCACUGGUACAGUGAUUCUUUGAUAGGACUACUAAUAACUGUAUUCUUCUUGCUAACUAUUCUUUAAGUCUCCUGGGUAUUUACAGGACUGUCUUGUGUAAUUAUUAAUAGGCACUUUACCCAAUUCAGCCAAAACUCCUAAGGAGAAUCAUUGACUUAGAAAAACCACAUCUGAUUGAAUUGAGCACGCCAAGAAUGAGGCGAGAUGGUGUCUCCUUUCACAAGGGUAUCUGGACAGAGCUUAAAGUGUCAAUCUAAUUAUAAACUGUUAUUCUCCUAUUAUGGAAAAACCCUGUAAUUGGAUACUAGAAAAUUCUCUGUAAAAGCUUGUCCCUCAGGCAAGGCUUAAUACUGGUCUCAGAAGCCCAGUUAAGUAUGUUUUAAAAAAAUUGGUUAUCCAUAAAAAUACUGAAGGGAAAUACUUCCCAUUAAUGCAGUUGUUGUUGGAUGCUAACAUAAUAGGUAAUAUUUUUUCUUUUUCUUUUUUAAAAGUCUUUUAUUGAAAAUUUUUCUUAAGAGGAAGAAUUGUUAUAAAAACAGUGUAUUUCUUAAGUAUAAGAAAACAUUUCUACAAAAAGUAGAAACUUUAGAUAAGUAAAAAUAAAAUCAAUUAUACAUAAUUAAUUACACCAUUGCAUGUUAAAAAUCUGCUAUAUUUUCUAAAUUUUUAUAAUGUAAGGAUACUCAUAAAUUGUGAGUCUGUAUAAAAGAUGGAAUCAUAUUCUUCAUGUUGCUUUCUAUUCUGUUGUGCUUUUCACUUACAAGAAUACUGUGAAUAUACUUCACUAUGAAUAAAUGCACAUGUAUGU
Long non-coding RNA from Symphalangus syndactylus (siamang), 2157 nucleotides. RefSeq lists it as uncharacterized. Lineage: Eukaryota; Metazoa; Chordata; Mammalia; Primates; Hylobatidae. The record is from RefSeq and is a predicted model, not a curated record.